This 261-nucleotide ribosomal RNA is filed under the name uncultured bacterium. Its description in RNAcentral is "partial 16S ribosomal RNA". It matches the Rfam family "Bacterial small subunit ribosomal RNA", at positions 793 to 1050 of the family's 1533-position model. The record is from RNAcentral.
GUCCACGCUGUAAACGAUGAGAACUAGAUGCUUGUUUGUUAAAUCAAGUGGGUAUCGAAGCUAACGCAUUAAGUUCUCCGCCUGGGGAGUACGGUCGCAAGAUUAAAACUCAAAGGAAUUGACGGGGGCCCGCACAAGCGGUGGAGCAUGUGGUUUAAUUCGAUGCAACGCGAAGAACCUUACCUACCCUUGACAUGCCAGGAAGUUUCCAGAGAUGGGAACGUGCCCGCGAGGGAACCUGGACACAGGUGCUGCAUGGCG